This 484-nucleotide ribosomal RNA is filed under the name Podocnemis expansa. RNAcentral's name for it is "partial 16S ribosomal RNA". It matches the Rfam family "Bacterial large subunit ribosomal RNA", at positions 1924 to 2574 of the family's 2925-position model. Lineage: Eukaryota; Metazoa; Chordata; Testudines; Podocnemididae. The record is from RNAcentral.
UUAACGGSCGCGGUAUCCUGACCGUGCGAAGGUAGCAUAAUCGCUUGUCUUUUAAAUAAAGACUAGAAUGAAUGGCUAAACGAGGUUCUAUCUGUCUCUUACAAACAAUCAGUGAAAUUGAUCUACUCGUGCAAAAGCGAGUAUUUUCCCAUAAGACGAGAAGACCCUGUGGAACUUUAAGAACUAAUCAGCCUUCAUGUAAUACUACACCCCACGGGACCACAUCAAAUUUUCCCCUGAUUAUUACUUUCGGUUGGGGCGACCUCGGAGUACAAGAAACCCUCCGAAGAUAGGACAAAAUCCACACCAAGAAUCACACCUCAAAGUACUAGCAAGUAAAAACGAUCCAAUAAAUUUGAUCAACGAACAAAGCUACCCCAGGGAUAACAGCGCAAUCCCCUUUCAGAGUUCAUAUCAACAAGGGGGUUUACGACCUCGAUGUUGGAUCAGGACAUCCUAAUGGUGCAUCAGCUAAUAAGGGUUC